CGGGGAAUUUUGGACAAUGGGCGAAAGCCUGAUCCAGCAAUGCCGCGUGUGUGAAGAAGGCCUUCGGGUUGUAAAGCACUUUUGUCCGGAAAGAAAUCCUUGGCUCUAAUACAGUCGGGGGAUGACGGUACCGGAAGAAUAAGCACCGGCUAACUACGUGCCAGCAGCCGCGGUAAUACGUAGGGUGCAAGCGUUAAUCGGAAUUACUGGGCGUAAAGCGUGCGCAGGCGGUUUGCUAAGACCGAUGUGAAAUCCCCGGGCUCAACCUGGGAACUGCAUUGGUGACUGGCAGGCUAGAGUAUGGCAGAGGGGGGUAGAAUUCCACGUGUAGCAGUGAAAUGCGUAGAGAUGUGGAGGAAUACCGAUGGCGAAGGCAGCCCCCUGGGCCAAUACUGACGCUCAUGCACGAAAGCGUGGGGAGCAAACAGGAUUAGAUACCCUGGUAGUCCACGCCCUAAAACGAUGUCAACUAGUUGUUGGGGAUUCAUUUCCUUAGUAACGUAGCUAACGCGUGAAGUUGACCGCCUGGGGAGUACGGUCGCAAGAUUAAAACUCAAAUGAAUUGACGGGGUCAUAGCUGUUUCCU
RNAcentral lists this ribosomal RNA (586 nucleotides) under uncultured bacterium. RNAcentral's name for it is "partial 16S ribosomal RNA". It matches the Rfam family "Bacterial small subunit ribosomal RNA", at positions 355 to 1375 of the family's 1533-position model. The record is from RNAcentral.